Molecule: unclassified non-coding RNA, 253 nt
Filed under: uncultured Chitinophagaceae bacterium
Lineage: Bacteria; Pseudomonadati; Bacteroidota; Chitinophagia; Chitinophagales; Chitinophagaceae
Description: contains 16S-23S intergenic spacer region
Rfam family: Bacterial small subunit ribosomal RNA
Source: RNAcentral
UACGGAGGGUGCAAGCGUUAUCCGGAUUCACUGGGUUUAAAGGGUGCGUAGGUGGGUUUGUAAGUCAGUGGUGAAAUCUCCAAGCUUAACUUGGAAACUGCCGUUGAUACUAUAGAUCUUGAAUCUCGUGGAGGUAAGCGGAAUAUGUCAUGUAGCGGUGAAAUGCUUAGAUAUGACAUAGAACACCGAUAGCGAAGGCAGCUUACUACACGAGUAUUGACACUGAUGCACGAAAGCGUGGGGAUCAAACAGG